RNAcentral lists this ribosomal RNA (2210 nucleotides) under Hoploclonia cuspidata cuspidata. Its description in RNAcentral is "partial 28S ribosomal RNA". It matches the Rfam family "Eukaryotic large subunit ribosomal RNA", at positions 82 to 1858 of the family's 3401-position model. The record is from RNAcentral. Lineage: Eukaryota; Metazoa; Arthropoda; Insecta; Phasmatodea; Heteropterygidae.
AGUAGCUGCGAGCGAAGAGGGAAGAGCCCAGCACUGAAUCCCGCAGGCCUGGCCUGUAGGGAGAUGUGGUGUUAGGGAGGAUCCGAUUAUCCCGGGUUGUGAUGGCGAGUCCAAGUCCUUCUGGAAUGUGGCUAGAAAUCCAUAGAGGGUGAAAGGCCCGUAGCGACCGCCGUCUAUCCCGGGAGGGUCUCUCCUCAGAGUCGGGUUGCUUGAGAAUGCAGCCCAAAGUGGGUGGUAAACUCCAUCUAAGGCUAAAUAUGACCACGAGACCGAUAGCGAACAAGUACCGUGAGGGAAAGUUGAAAAGAACUUUGGAGAAAGAGUUCAAGAGUACGUGAAACCGUUCAGGGGUAAACGGGAGAAGUCCUGAAUUCGAAAGGGGCCGGAUUCAAGUCGAUCCGUGUGUGCAGGAUGCAUGCCCGCCUGAUGACGUUGGACACCACCCAGAUACAUUGUGUCUGCGGUUGGCGUUAGCGGCGUCGCUGAGCGUGAGCUGCAUUUGCCUGGCACCGGACGGCCGCACUUCCACCCUAGUAGAAGCGUCGCGACCCGUUGGGUGCCGGUCUAAGGCCCGGGAAGGCAGACCUCUUAGUCCUGAGUGUAUGGUUCCUCAGGCAUGUGGACUCCCGGUGACCUGGCAGGCUGCUCGACGGUCUAUGAAUAGAGGAGCCGGUCCGCUGAAUGGAAAAAAACACUGAGGUGUGAAGCGUCCGACUCGGUAGCUGCGUCCUCUCGAGGGGAGCUGGAGCUUGUUUUUCAGCACCUACUCCCAGCGGGUUGACAGGUUUGCCGGAAGAUUUCGGACGGGACCGAUACUCCUGUCGGCGACGAUCUUCUUCGGAUGGUCUCCCGACCCGUCUUGAAACACGGACCAAGGAGUCUAACAUGUGCGCGAGUCAAUGGGUUGAAAACCUACAGGCGCAAUGAAAGUGAAGGCCGAAGAUGGUUAGCCGGCCGAGGGAAGAUGGAACUGGGUUUCCGGGGUCCUCGCGGAUCCCGGUCCCGGCCCGCAUUCCCGGGGCGUCUCACCCUCACUGCGAGGGGAGGCGUACCUAGAGCGUACUUGUUGGUACCCGAAAGAUGGUGAACUAUGCCCGGCCAGGAUGAAGUCAGGGGAAACCCUGAUGGAGGUCUGAAGCGAUUCUGACGUGCAAAUCGAUCGCCAGAGCUGGGUAUAGGGGCGAAAGACUAAUCGAACCAUCUAGUAGCUGGUUCCCUCCGAAGUUUCCCUCAGGAUAGCUGGCACUCGGAGGAGGAAAAAGAGACGAGUCUCAUAUGGUAAAGCAAAUGAUUGGAGGCCUUGGGGCCGAAACGGUCUCAACCUAUUCUCAAACUUUAAAUGGGUGAGAUCUCCACCUUGCGUGGAUGUGAAGCUGGUGGUGGAUCGAGAGUGCCUAGUGGGCCACUUUUGGUAAGCAGAACUGGCGCUGUGGGAUGAACCAAACGCCGAGUUAAGGCGCCUGAAUUGAUGCUAAUGGGAAACCAUGAAAGGCGUUGGUUGCUUAAGACAGCAGGACGGUGGCCAUGGAAGUCGGAAUCCGCUAAGGAGUGUGUAACAACUCACCUGCCGAAGCAACUAGCCCUGAAAAUGGAUGGCGCUAAAGCAUCGUGCCUAUACUCGGCCGUCAGUGGCAGUGGGAGCCGGUCGGGGCCUCUGGUCCCGGCCCUCGAAGAAGCCCUGACGAGUAGGAGGGCGCGGCGGUGAGCGCAGAAGGGCGGGGCGUGAGCCAGCCUGGAGCCACCGUUGGUGCAGAUCUUGGUGGUAGUAGCAAAUACUCUAUGGAGGACCUAGUGGACUGAGGCGGAGCAGGGUUUCGUGUGAACAGUUGUUGCACACGAGUCAGUCGUACCUAAGCCCUAUGUGAAAUCUGAUGCCGAUGGGUGGUCUAGGAAAUGGUGGCCAAUACCCCGGCGGGCGAAAGGGAAUCAGGUGGAUAUUCCUGAACAAGGCACGGAACCGUUCCAAUAUCGGACCCUCGUGAGUUCGUCGGGGUAACCCGAAUUAACCCGGAGAAGCCGGCGGGAGGUCUGGGCAGAGAUUUCUUUUCUGUAUGAGCGGUCGGGUACCCUGGAAUCCUCUAGCAGGGAGAUAGGGUAUGGACCUGCGCAAUGCACCGCAGUUGCUGUGGUGUCCAGAUUUUCUCCUCGGACCAUGAAAAUCCGGGGGAGGGUCACGCGGAACCUCCGUGCUGGAACGUACCUAAUCCGCA